Non-coding RNA from Momordica charantia (bitter melon), 1297 nucleotides. Lineage: Eukaryota; Viridiplantae; Streptophyta; Magnoliopsida; Cucurbitales; Cucurbitaceae. The record is from RefSeq and is a predicted model, not a curated record.
ACUAAUGCCGAAUCCAUUCAUUUUUGCGCUAAGAAGAAGCGAGUUCUUUCAAUGGCGUGGAUUUCACAAGUGCUCGAGCGGAACCGGGAAUGGAGUUGAAGAGAUCAAGAAGACUACGCGAUUCUGGCUAGGGUUAGGGCUAGAAGACACGUACGCGAUUUCUUUAUUUUUGUUCGAGUUCUCCAUGCCGGGCUCUUAACUUCCGCUACAUUCUUGUCGACGUUGAUGUUCAGCAUGUUCUCGGUGGCGGGGAGCACAGUGAAUGAGGUCGAAGAUGACGACAAGGGGAAGAAGAUGGUGGCCAGAAAACAGAGGAGAGCAUAUAGAAGAGGAUGCUGAAUCCGCUCUUGAGACACAAUCCCGUCAUCUGCUCAAUCUAGGGUUUCGUUUGAUGGGGGCGAGUAAUUGGGUUGAGGAAGAGGAWGACAAGCGGAGAAGAACCGAGCGAGGAGAAGCGAAGCGUUGAAAUUUCAGAAGGGUUCGAACGUAAUUGAAAUGAAGUGGAAAAUCGAGAAGAGAUGCCAACUCUGCCGCAAUCGCCUAGGGUUUCUCGCAGACCAGCUUUUUGAAGCUUGUACGCUCAUAUUCCUAACAUCCCGGUUUAGGAGUUGCUAAUAGAAUCUGGAUUUUGAGAUAUACAUCAUUCAGUUUCUUUUUGUGACAUUGCUGUGCUGGACUUUGCUGGUAGAGAUUUCAGCGCUUUAUGGUUGAUUGGGAGGAAAUUAGCCGUUCUCAGGAGGGAAAGCAACCAACCAUCAUCCUUGACUAUCAUUUACCGUUAUGAGUAUAGGCUUUGCUUGAAUCUACCCAACAAUGAGUGAAAUUACUUAGCAGUUGGUGGCACACGCACAAGGGAAGCGACAUUAGACUAAUUUGACCAAGAGAAACAGCCCUUAAAGCCUAUGAGGCUCCUGCCCCAACCUCAACAUGCAUGCGCAACCAUCUUGGAAGUUAUGAGUGUAAGAUUUAAUCGGCCCACAUGCAAGGGAAGCGGCAUCGGACUUCUUUCGUGAAGAGUAGCCAAAAAGGUUUCUGCUCAACCCCACCUCACAAGUGAGCCGGAAGAGUAACUUAUCACAAAUGUGACCAGCUUGCCUCCAUUGACACCGACGUCCUCGGAAUCACCAUCACCACUUCAUUCAUUCCCUUACUUGAAAUUCAAAGUCUACAAAUUCACUAUCACGCCGUCUUCGAUGAUCUCUCAAUUACGUUCGCAACUACUUGGCCGACCUAAUUUUUUCCUGUGUUCGAGAGAGAAUUGAAAAAGAGAAACGGAAGGGUGAGGCGAAGAUAAACA